This 138-nucleotide unclassified non-coding RNA is filed under the name uncultured Ascomycota. RNAcentral's name for it is "sequence contains ITS1". The record is from RNAcentral. Lineage: Eukaryota; Fungi; Ascomycota.
CAAGAAACGAGGCUACAUGCCCCGCUCCUUACCUUGCCUACUGUACUAUCUGUUGCUUCCUGGCGGCGGACUGCCUGCCGCCAGGGACAUUGUAAAGCCCUGUAUAAGCAUUAAAACACUGAAGCAAACCGAAUCGUA